RNAcentral lists this long non-coding RNA (1158 nucleotides) under Equus caballus (horse). RNAcentral's name for it is "lncRNA (ENSECAG00000045002.1)". The record is from RNAcentral. Lineage: Eukaryota; Metazoa; Chordata; Mammalia; Perissodactyla; Equidae.
GUUGUCAUAAUGAGGUGGCAAUUGUUGCUGUGAUGCUGAAAGCUAUGCCACUGGUAUUUCAAAUACCAGCAGAGGCACCCAUGUUGGAUAGGUUUCAGUGGAGCUUCCAGACUAAGACAGACGAGGAAGAAGGACCUGGCUACCCACUUCUGAAAAAAUUGGCCAUGAAAAUCCUAAGAAUACCAGUGAAGUAUUGUCUGACACAGUGCAAGAAGUUUAUACGUGGGACGCCUACCACAGCAUGGCUGCCAAGCAGUGCCAUGUCCGCACCCGGGAUCCGAACCAGCGAAGCCCGGGCCGCCGAGAAGCGGAACGUGCGAACUUAACCGCUGCGCCACCGGGCCGGCCCCACAUGGAGAGGCAGAAGGAUUAAGAAUCUCAUUAAAGGUUUUGGAGCUAAUAAGUGGCAGAGCUGAAAUUUGAACUCAGGGAAUUUCACAAAAUAAGCUUGGCUUCUUAACUACUAAGCUGUACUAUACAGAUUCUUAAUUUCUCAUUACACUCUCCCCAUGUGGACUGUGUACCAUGUACCAUUUGGAGUUGGAAACUGCCAUAAGCAAGUUGUAGGGGGAAUGGAAGGUUAGGCUGGAAAAGAAGCGGUUGACUCCACCCCACUGCCUGCACACUUUCCAUCCGCAGCAGACACAGGUAAAGGAGAGUCUUGACACAGAGCAUGAAGAAGUUAAAAAAUCUUCCCUGGGCUAGAAGAAGAGAACAAAAACUUUGAGAUAAGCUUUGCUAACUGCAGUUGUGCAUAUUCAGCAUAAUCAACUCUUGUUCAAAACUAACCAGGUCUUUCUGUCCCCAUUUAGCAGAUGAGUGAGCUGUCUUUCCCAGGAAGUCAAGGUCCAGACAUCAAGAUUCAGUCUCACAUGGCCAAAUGCAGGCUGAAGAUGAAAACUAACUAGAAAAGUCCAGACAUUCGAGGAGAAAAAAAUUCAGUCUUCAAGGCCAAACACAGGCUGGUGGGAAGGUGCCAACAAGCAAGGCCACAGGCUCCUCCUCCCCUACCUAGAACCCCAGCACAUGUUCCCCCACCCCAACCUCAAACCCCAGAUAAAAUCCCCUACCUUUUUCCCUUUGAGGAGGUGGAUCUGUAUCCUAAUUCUCAUCUCCUUGUGGUUGCCUUUUGAUAAUAGUAAACCUCUUUCCUUGCCA